RNAcentral lists this long non-coding RNA (1265 nucleotides) under Bos grunniens (domestic yak). RNAcentral's name for it is "lncRNA (ENSBGRG00000003122.1)". The record is from RNAcentral. Lineage: Eukaryota; Metazoa; Chordata; Mammalia; Artiodactyla; Bovidae.
CUUGGGAGCCGGGCCACGGACCAGAGGAGACGGAGGGCAGGAAGCCAAAGAGACGCCCAGGCACACCCUCCGCAAAGGCCGAGUCCGAGUGGUCGGAGAGGUUGACCGCAGGAGGGCAGUCUUCUGAACGAAAACGGAAACCUUGGAGCAGAGGACCAAGGAGGAACCCAGAGGCCGGGAAGCCCAUAGAAAAUUACUGAAAGGAGAGCGAACCCGGCCUAGACACAAAUCGAAACUGUACAGAGAUAGUCGCUUGGGGGAACCCGGCAACCUACCCCAUAUCUUUGGGAAGAAUUCCAGAGUGGAGGGGCCUGCUCCAUCUCCAGAAUGGCAUCUCUGGGAAAGGCUGCAUUUAGAAGCAAACUCAAAGUGCAAAUUAUAAUGGCCCAAGACUUACCCAACUCUCUAAGAAAUCAGUUUCAGAAGUCUGCCCUCUCCUUCCCUGGAUCUGCUUCACCCCCAGGAGGUACACCUGGGAAGAUGCAAGAUUCUGGAAGGGGUACCCUCAGCCUCAGAUCUCAGCCCCAAAACCAAAAGCUGUGGAGAACUUGAAGAUUCCGGGCUCCUCCCCUGCAUCGCCACCCCAAGAAAAGCAAAGGAUAUACUUCCAGUCACCAGAAAACAACUGGCCCAGGGAAGGGUCCACCUCACUGCUUUCAACUCUUCACUCAAGGAUUGGGUGAGCAUCUAUUAUGUGUAGAGGUUACUCUACACACCCAAAAAAGAUGUGAAUGGAAUGCAAUAAAGUUGGGAACCCAUGGCAAUGUGAAAUGUGCUCUGCAACUCCAGGCCCCUGAACCCCAACCCCUCAAGCCCUUCAACAGGAACUUCAACACUCCCUUGGCUUCCAAGGCCUGACACCUGGCACUGUCAUUUCACACCCAGCACAGGCCCAAACCAAGGUGAAUUUUUCAAGAAAGGCAGACUGAUCGGUCAUUCCCACUCUCACAAUAAUCAAUCCUGCAAAAACAACAGGAAAGAAACCCAAGGAAAGAGCACAGAAGCAGGGUUCCCCUACAUGCACAAACACACCUGCAAACACAAAUAAGCACAUGUGCGCACACUGUGAACUCACAAACAUCCAAGUAUGCAUCUAAUUACAGAGACAUGAACAUCCAAUCGCAUAAUGUUCACAUAAUGCAGAAAUACACAAAACCCUGUGGGCACCCAGAUGUACCAGUAUUCAUCUACACAUGAUCACAUAUGCACCCGAGUUUUUGGGGACACCUACAUAUCUGGUCAUAUGAAUAUAGCUGCAUACGUAC